Long non-coding RNA from Pogoniulus pusillus (Red-fronted tinkerbird), 1293 nucleotides. RefSeq lists it as uncharacterized. Lineage: Eukaryota; Metazoa; Chordata; Aves; Piciformes; Lybiidae. The transcript has 3 exons. The record is from RefSeq and is a predicted model, not a curated record.
CCCAUAUAAGCAGAGCAGGAGGAGCCCAGCCCCAAGCUGGGCCCAUUGCGGGCCAAGGGAUCCUCCGCCGGCAUCCCAGGUUCUGCGGUGGAUGCAGACAUGGAGCAGGAGCAGAACUGGAGCUGGGAACGGAGCAGGAGCCUCGAAAGUUUUGUUCUAGGUUCUGCGGUGGAUGCAGACAUGGAGCAGGAGCAGAACUGGAGCUGGGAACGGAGCAGGAGCCUCGAAAGUUUUGUUCUAGGUUCUGCGGUGGAUGCAGACAUGGAGCAGGAGCAGAACUGGAGCUGGGAACCGACCAGGAGCAGCAGCUGGGAAUGGAACUGGUAACGGAGCAGAAGCGGGCUGGCUGGAGGAGCACAGGGGCCGGAGCUGCAUUCAGCUGCCCGGGGGCAGGCAGCGCUGCCAGGACCCUGGCGCACACCCGCACAGGCUGUGCCGUGCCCCGGCAGGAGCUUUUGCAGCAGCUGCUCUCCGCUGCGGGUUCAGUGUCCUGCUGCAAGGAGGCUCUGCCUGCAGCUCAGAGCUGCCUUGCACCGUCUCAAGGGGCUCUCCAGGAAGGAGUCCCUCAGCCUGCUCUCAGCUCUCCUUCAGCUGCUGAAACGUAGCUCGAAGGUCUCCCUGGAGCCUUCUCCUCUCCAGGCUGAGCAGCCACAGCUCUCUCAGGCUGCCUUCACAGCAGAGCUUCUCCCACCCUCUGCUCAUGUUUGUGGCCUGCUCUGGAAGCCCUCCAGCAGCUCCCUGGCUCCCUUGUGUUGGGGGUGCCCCAGAGCUGGCCACAGCAGUCCAGGCUGAGCUCUCCCCAAAGCAGAGGGGCAGAUGGUUCACAAGCACAGACCCCACAGGCUGCCCAACGACCUUCCCACACUGCAGCUGCAGGUUUCAGUCAGAUCCUUUUAGUGUCAAAGCUGAGAGACUUGAGGGCUAAGGCACCAGCAGCACUGUGCUUCAAGCCAGAGAAACACCAAAUAAAAGGAGACCUCUCUUAACUGCAGUUUAAUUGCCCAAGCCAAGCACUAAGACAAGGAACAUGCAGAUGAAUUGGGUGACUUGCAGAGCCUAAACAGCUUUAUGAGGCUACUCCAACACAGUGCCCAGUUACAAACUGCUUCCCUGUGGAAGCAUUUUCACUUCCAGUGUUCUCCAAGCACCUGACUUUUCACACAGACCCUUUCCUCUGUGGCCCCAAAGGUCUUCAUUAGUUAAAGGAAGAUUUUCUUUGCUUUCCAGUAAGAACAAUAAGAGAAAUGCUUUGGUCUAAAAAAUCCUUGAAGCUUUCCUCUUGGUUUGUUGAAA